GGGCCCGCACAAGCGGUGGAGUAUGUGGUUUAAUUCGAUGCAACGCGAAGAACCUUACCAGGGUUUGACAUCCUGCGAAUCUCUUGGAAACGAGAGAGUGCCUUCGGGAGCGCAGUGACAGGUGGUGCAUGGCUGUCGUCAGCUCGUGUCGUGAGAUGUUGGGUUAAGUCCCGCAACGAGCGCAACCCACGUCUUUAGUUGCCAGCAUUCAGUUGGGCACUCUAGAGAGACCGCCGGUGCUAAGCCGGAGGAAGGCGGGGAUGACGUCAAGUCCUCAUGGCCCUUACACGCGGGGCUACACACGUGCUACAAUGGCAGUGACAAUGGGAUAAUCCCAAAAAGCUGUCUCAGUUCAGAUUGUCCUCUGCAACUCGAGGGCAUGAAGUUGGAAUCGCUAGUAAUCG
Molecule: ribosomal RNA, 404 nt
Filed under: uncultured bacterium
Lineage: Bacteria
Description: bacterial SSU rRNA
Rfam family: Bacterial small subunit ribosomal RNA
Source: RNAcentral